This 253-nucleotide ribosomal RNA is filed under the name uncultured bacterium. RNAcentral's name for it is "partial 16S ribosomal RNA". It matches the Rfam family "Bacterial small subunit ribosomal RNA", at positions 524 to 776 of the family's 1533-position model. The record is from RNAcentral.
UACGGAGGGGGCUAGCGUUGUCCGGAAUUACUGGGCGUAAAGCGCACGUAGGCGGCUCUCUAAGUCGGGGGUGAAAUCCUGGAGCUCAACUCCAGAACUGCCUUCGAUACUGGAAAGCUCGAGUCCGGGAGAGGUGAGUGGAACUGCGAGUGUAGAGGUGAAAUUCGUAGAUAUUCGCAAGAACACCAGUGGCGAAGGCGGCUCACUGGCCCGGUACUGACGCUGAGGUGCGAAAGCGUGGGGAGCAAACAGG